AGUAAAAGUCGUAACAAGGUUUCCUCCCCGGUGUCCCCCACCGAAGCCUUGGCUGCCCGCGACUCAAAAUAAUGGGGUUGAAAGGUCUCUGCGGAGGCCAACGUCACACAAAUGCUGGAACCCGUGUACCCCCCAUGGAGCUCGGUGAACCAGCAGCCCAGGCCCCCUGGGUCCACAGAUUAAGCGGUGACGGCCAGCGCCUGCCCUGGCAGAGAUAUAACCGGUCUAUGGCGGCCAGCCAUCAGAGCGACGUUCCGUAGGUGAACCUGCGGAAGGAUCAUUAUCGAGUUAGGGUCCUCUGGGCCCCAUCUCCAACCCGUGUCUACUAUACCUGUUGCUUCGGCGGGCCCGUCCUUAACCGGACCGCUGGGGAUCUCCGUCCCUGGCCAGCGCCCGUCAGUGGCCCCCCCUCCAAACUCUUAUGAAUGUGUUGUCUGAGUCCAUGAUAAUAAGCACAAAAACUUUCAACAACGGAUCUCUUGGUUCUGGCAUCGAUGAAGAACGCAGCGAAAUGCGAUAAGUAAUGCGAAUUGCAGAAUUCCGUGAGUCAUCGAAUCUUUGAACGCACAUUGCGCCCUCUGGCAUUCCGGAGGGCAUGCCUGUUCGAGCGUCAUUAUCUAUCCUCAAGCACGGCUUGUCUUUGGGUCUCCCACCGCUCCCCGGCGGUGGACCUGAAAGGUAGUGGCGGUUCCCGGGGGGACUGGAUGCAGCGAGCUCUUCAGCACGCGUCUGCGCCCUCCCGAGGCCCGGCCUCGACCAGAAAUUUUUCUCGCAGUUGACCUCGGAUCAGUAGGGAUACCCGCUGAACUUAAGCAUAUCA
This 820-nucleotide ribosomal RNA is filed under the name Verrucaria viridigrana. RNAcentral's name for it is "eukaryotic LSU rRNA". The stretch from base 460 to 613 matches the Rfam family "5.8S ribosomal RNA". Lineage: Eukaryota; Fungi; Ascomycota; Eurotiomycetes; Verrucariales; Verrucariaceae. The record is from RNAcentral.